GAUGAACGCUGGCGGCGUGCCUAAUACAUGCAAGUCGAGCGAACAGACGAGGAGCUUGCUCCUUUGACGUUAGCGGCGGACGGGUGAGUAACACGUAGGUAACCCACCUAUAAGACUGGGAUAACUUCGGGAAACCGGAGCUAAUACCGGAUAAUAUUUCGAACCGCAUGGUUCGAUAGUGAAAGAUGGCUUUGCUAUCACUUAUAGAUGGACCUGCGCCGUAUUAGCUAGUUGGUAAGGUAACGGCUUACCAAGGCAACGAUACGUAGCCGACCUGGGAGGGUGAUCGGCCACACUGGAACUGAGACACGGUCCAGACUCCUACGGGAGGCAGCAGUAGGGAAUCUUCCGCAAUGGGCGAAAGCCUGACGGAGCAACGCCGCGUGAGUGAUGAAGGUCUUCGGAUCGUAAAACUCUGUUAUUAGGGAAGAACAAACGUGUAAGUAACUGUGCACGUCUUGACGGUACCUAAUCAGAAAGCCACGGCUAACUACGUG
This 497-nucleotide ribosomal RNA is filed under the name uncultured bacterium. Its description in RNAcentral is "partial 16S ribosomal RNA". It matches the Rfam family "Bacterial small subunit ribosomal RNA", at positions 28 to 507 of the family's 1533-position model. The record is from RNAcentral.